This 1878-nucleotide ribosomal RNA is filed under the name Escherichia coli BIDMC 74. Its description in RNAcentral is "bacterial LSU rRNA". It matches the Rfam family "Bacterial large subunit ribosomal RNA", at positions 488 to 2352 of the family's 2925-position model. Lineage: Bacteria; Pseudomonadati; Pseudomonadota; Gammaproteobacteria; Enterobacterales; Enterobacteriaceae. The record is from RNAcentral.
UAGUGAACCAGUACCGUGAGGGAAAGGCGAAAAGAACCCCGGCGAGGGGAGUGAAAAAGAACCUGAAACCGUGUACGUACAAGCAGUGGGAGCACGCUUAGGCGUGUGACUGCGUACCUUUUGUAUAAUGGGUCAGCGACUUAUAUUCUGUAGCAAGGUUAACCGAAUAGGGGAGCCGAAGGGAAACCGAGUCUUAACUGGGCGUUAAGUUGCAGGGUAUAGACCCGAAACCCGGUGAUCUAGCCAUGGGCAGGUUGAAGGUUGGGUAACACUAACUGGAGGACCGAACCGACUAAUGUUGAAAAAUUAGCGGAUGACUUGUGGCUGGGGGUGAAAGGCCAAUCAAACCGGGAGAUAGCUGGUUCUCCCCGAAAGCUAUUUAGGUAGCGCCUCGUGAAUUCAUCUCCGGGGGUAGAGCACUGUUUCGGCAAGGGGGUCAUCCCGACUUACCAACCCGAUGCAAACUGCGAAUACCGGAGAAUGUUAUCACGGGAGACACACGGCGGGUGCUAACGUCCGUCGUGAAGAGGGAAACAACCCAGACCGCCAGCUAAGGUCCCAAAGUCAUGGUUAAGUGGGAAACGAUGUGGGAAGGCCCAGACAGCCAGGAUGUUGGCUUAGAAGCAGCCAUCAUUUAAAGAAAGCGUAAUAGCUCACUGGUCGAGUCGGCCUGCGCGGAAGAUGUAACGGGGCUAAACCAUGCACCGAAGCUGCGGCAGCGACACUGUGUGUUGUUGGGUAGGGGAGCGUUCUGUAAGCCUGCGAAGGUGACCUGUGAGGGUUGCUGGAGGUAUCAGAAGUGCGAAUGCUGACAUAAGUAACGAUAAAGCGGGUGAAAAGCCCGCUCGCCGGAAGACCAAGGGUUCCUGUCCAACGUUAAUCGGGGCAGGGUGAGUCGACCCCUAAGGCGAGGCCGAAAGGCGUAGUCGAUGGGAAACAGGUUAAUAUUCCUGUACUUGGUGUUACUGCGAAGGGGGGACGGAGAAGGCUAUGUUGGCCGGGCGACGGUUGUCCCGGUUUAAGCGUGUAGGCUGGUUUUCCAGGCAAAUCCGGAAAAUCAAGGCUGAGGCGUGAUGACGAGGCACUACGGUGCUGAAGCAACAAAUGCCCUGCUUCCAGGAAAAGCCUCUAAGCAUCAGGUAACAUCGAAUCGUACCCCAAACCGACACAGGUGGUCAGGUAGAGAAUACCAAGGCGCUUGAGAGAACUCGGGUGAAGGAACUAGGCAAAAUGGUGCCGUAACUUCGGGAGAAGGCACGCUGAUACGUAGGUGAAGUCCCUCGCGGAUGGAGCUGAAAUCAGUCGAAGAUACCAGCUGGCUGCAACUGUUUAUUAAAAACACAGCACUGUGCAAACACGAAAGUGGACGUAUACGGUGUGACGCCUGCCCGGUGCCGGAAGGUUAAUUGAUGGGGUCAGCGCAAGCGAAGCUCCUGAUCGAAGCCCCGGUAAACGGCGGCCGUAACUAUAACGGUCCUAAGGUAGCGAAAUUCCUUGUCGGGUAAGUUCCGACCUGCACGAAUGGCGUAAUGAUGGCCAGGCUGUCUCCACCCGAGACUCAGUGAAAUUGAACUCGCUGUGAAGAUGCAGUGUACCCGCGGCAAGACGGAAAGACCCCGUGAACCUUUACUAUAGCUUGACACUGAACAUUGAGCCUUGAUGUGUAGGAUAGGUGGGAGGCUUUGAAGUGUGGACGCCAGUCUGCAUGGAGCCGACCUUGAAAUACCACCCUUUAAUGUUUGAUGUUCUAACGUGGACCCGUGAACCGGGUUGCGGACAGUGUCUGGUGGGUAGUUUGACUGGGGCGGUCUCCUCCUAAAGAGUAACGGAGGAGCACGAAGGUUGGCUAAUCCUGGUCGGACAUCAGGAGGUUAGUGC